This is a long non-coding RNA of Cucumis sativus (cucumber), 1373 nucleotides long. RefSeq lists it as uncharacterized. The transcript has 2 exons. Lineage: Eukaryota; Viridiplantae; Streptophyta; Magnoliopsida; Cucurbitales; Cucurbitaceae. The record is from RefSeq and is a predicted model, not a curated record.
UUUAAACUGUCCAUCCUAACAUCCUUUUUUUUUUUUCUUUUUCUUCUUUCCUUCAGGUAAUAAAGAAUAGCGGCCUUGAAGAAUUAAGAGUUGGAGUCUGGCAUCUUUGGCACUUUAUAUCAUGGAAAAUGGAGGGGAACUGAUGUUGCUAUAAAACGAGUCAAUGAUAGGUGUUUUGUUGGGAAGCCUUUUGAACAAGAUCACAUGAUUGUUGUUUUUAAGUAAUUGGUUUUUCUCUACUUGUGUAAUUCGUGUAUUUUUCUUUUUGUUCCUUCACUCAAGUCCUUUUUAUUGGUUUAUAUUGUACUAGAGAGAAGAUUUUUUAAAUGAAGCACUUAAGCUUGCUGAUUUGCUCCACCCAAAUGUGGUGCUUUUUAUGGUGUUGUACUUGAUGGCCCUGGGAGAUUUGUGGCCACAAUAACAGAAUAUAUGGUCAAUUGUUCGCUCAGAAAUGAUUUGUUGAAGAAUGAAAAAUGAUGCAGGAGUCUUGACAAGCAGAAGAGCCUCUUGAUUGCUAUGGAUGCGACUUUUGGAAUGGAAUACCUGCACAUAAAGAAUAUUGUGCACUUUCAUUUGAAAAGUGAUAAUCUACUAGUCAAUCUUCGAGAUCCUCAUCGCCCAAUAUGCAAGGUUUGUUGUAUUGUUGAUAAUAGCAGAAUCAUCAUUGUAAUGCAUUCCAUUUAGUUAAACUCUUGAUUUGAUUUUUAAACAAAACAAGAGGAUAUAAAGUGUACUGUCAUUUAUCAUGAUCAUUCAUGCCCAAUAGACAUUUUGCAAAUAUUUAAUACCAUAAUUUCACUUAAUACAUGCACAUUAGUAUGAUUGAGAGGUUAGUUUUAUUAUUGUUUUAGUAAAGCACGAUGAGGAUAAAGAGAGUUGUGUUCGUUUAUCAAAUAAUUUAUCAUAUUUGGGAGGGAUCUAUUUUGACAAAAUUUCUUUCACGGUGUUGUGCAAUCUUGGAUACUUAUUACACUUUUGUGAAAAUACCAAAUAUGGUUAUUUAGGAUCUGCCAAGCAGAUUUUUCCUCAACCAUCAGGCAAUUUGAGAUGUGAAAUGUAUCACAAAUAAACGACAUUGAUCUUAUUAACAAGAAUGGGUUGAUAACCCUAAGUACAUUUACUUAGAGCACAAUCACAAUCGCAUUAGAAUAUCCUUUCCUCUCUCCCAUUGGAGAUUUAGCUUCAAUGAGACUGAAGCCAAUACUACUGAAUAAGAGGCCCGGGCAAAGGUAGAAAUUAUAGAGGAAUAUGACAUCAGAGCAUUUGAUUGUGGAGGAGAGCAUAAGUAGUUAACCUAAUAGGGAAGGUGCAUUGUGCACACAAGGAAAUUCUAAUGCGAUUGUAAAAGACAAAAAAAAAAAAAAAAAAAAAAA